GAAAAUGCGUGGAAAGAGAGUAGUAAGCUGAACCCUACCAACCAGGGACGAGAUGCCAGCGACUGAAAGCACCUCGAUGGAAAGGACAGCUGAAUUCGCUCUGGAGCAGGCACUGGAACACAAGCGCAUAGCUUGUUAAGGUGAUCCCGGCAACAGCCGUUAUGGAAAUGAAGAGGAUGCACUCAGUUUGUGCAUCAAUUAGGGUGGUAUCGCGAAACCUUCGUCCCUUGU
RNAcentral lists this non-coding RNA (231 nucleotides) under Halalkalibacterium halodurans. Its description in RNAcentral is "Bacillus halodurans T-box sequence". It matches the Rfam family "T-box leader". Rfam says of the family: Uncharged tRNA acts as the effector for transcription antitermination of genes in the T-box leader family. T-boxes are found upstream of many aminoacyl-tRNA synthetase genes and some amino acid biosynthetic genes usually in Gram-positive bacteria. The record is from RNAcentral. Lineage: Bacteria; Bacillati; Bacillota; Bacilli; Caryophanales; Bacillaceae.